Molecule: ribosomal RNA, 229 nt
Filed under: uncultured bacterium
Lineage: Bacteria
Description: partial 16S ribosomal RNA
Rfam family: Bacterial small subunit ribosomal RNA
Source: RNAcentral
CGUGUAGGCGGCCGUCUAAGUCGGGUGUGAAAUCCCUCGGCUCAACCGAGGAACCGCAUCCGAUACUGGACAGCUAGAGUGCGGUAGGGGCAAGUGGAACUCCAGGUGUAGCGGUGAAAUGCGUAGAUAUCUGGAGGAACGCCGGUGGCGAAAGCGACUUGCUGGCCCGCAACUGACGCUCAGGCACGAAAGCGUGGGGAUCGAACAGGAUUAGAUACCCUGGUAGUCC